CCAGACUCCUACGGGAGGCAGCAGUCGGGAAUAUUGCGCAAUGGAGGAAACUCUGACGCAGUGACGCCGCGUAUAGGAAGAAGGUUUUCGGAUUGUAAACUAUUGUCGUUAGGGAAGAUAAAAGACUGUACCUAAGGAGGAAGCCCCGGCUAACUAUGUGCCAGCAGCCGCGGUAAUACGGAGGAUGCGAGCGUUAUCCGGAUUUAUUGGGUUUAAAGGGUGCGCAGGCGGAAGAUCAAGUCAGCGGUAAAAUUGAGAGGCUCAACCUCUUCGAGCCGUUGAAACUGGUUUUCUUGAGUGAGCGAGAAGUAUGCGGAAUGCGUGGUGUAGCGGUGAAAUGCAUAGAUAUCACGCAGAACUCCGAUUGCGAAGGCAGCAUACCGGCGCUCAACUGACGCUCAUGCACGAAAGUGUGGGUAUCGAACAGGAUUAGAUACCCGCGUAA
Molecule: ribosomal RNA, 445 nt
Filed under: uncultured bacterium
Lineage: Bacteria
Description: bacterial SSU rRNA
Rfam family: Bacterial small subunit ribosomal RNA
Source: RNAcentral